RNAcentral lists this ribosomal RNA (153 nucleotides) under Puccinia polysora. RNAcentral describes it as "5.8S ribosomal RNA". It matches the Rfam family "5.8S ribosomal RNA". From Rfam's summary of the family: 5.8S ribosomal RNA (5.8S rRNA) is a component of the large subunit of the eukaryotic ribosome. It is transcribed by RNA polymerase I as part of the 45S precursor that also contains 18S and 28S rRNA. Functionally, it is thought that 5.8S rRNA may be involved in ribosome translocation. The record is from RNAcentral. Lineage: Eukaryota; Fungi; Basidiomycota; Pucciniomycetes; Pucciniales; Pucciniaceae.
AACUUUCAACAAUCGGAUCUCUUGGCUCUCACAUCGAUGAAGAACACGUGAAAUGUGAUAAGUAAUGUGAAUUGCAGAAUUCAUUGAAUCAUCGAAUCUCCGAACGCACCUUGCACCUCUUGGUAUCCCAAUAGGUACACCCGUGGAGUGUAU